CAUUAGAAAGCUAAGACAGGAUAAAGCAUUAGCCUUUUAAGCUAAAGAAUGGUGGCUCCUAACCACCUCUAGUGA
Molecule: transfer RNA, 75 nt
Filed under: Hoplosternum littorale (atipa)
Lineage: Eukaryota; Metazoa; Chordata; Actinopteri; Siluriformes; Callichthyidae
Description: tRNA-Lys
Rfam family: tRNA
About the family: Transfer RNA (tRNA) molecules are approximately 80 nucleotides in length. Their secondary structure includes four short double-helical elements and three loops (D, anti-codon, and T loops).
Source: RNAcentral